Molecule: long non-coding RNA, 509 nt
Organism: Erinaceus europaeus (western European hedgehog)
Lineage: Eukaryota; Metazoa; Chordata; Mammalia; Eulipotyphla; Erinaceidae
Exons: 3
Source: RefSeq, a predicted model, not a curated record
GCAGUUUUUGUGAAGGACCAGAAUGUGCUGUUUCUUGGAUGGUAGUGAACCACAUGUUCAUGCCACAACAGUGGAAUAUAGACAUUCAACACUCUCAACUUGUCCUGUAAGAUCUGACUGUGGUUUGUCCACACUCACUGAAUACCCUUUAUUGCCUACAGCUGAAGUGUAAGAACUGUGGAGCCUUUGGACACACGACUAGAAGCUCCAAGUGCCCCAUAAAACGUUGGGGAGAGGUCCAGGCCUUUCAGCCCUUGGCAUACCGUAAAGGGAAGGAGAACCUGAACUCACAGAGCCCAAAAAACUCAGGCCUCUUGAGAAUUACUGGGAAACAAAAGAUACUAGGACUAAGACAAAGGCAGCCCAAAGAAGCUCCACUCCAGAGAUUUCCCAGGACAUCCCCAGAGAGGCCACAGCAGAACCAAAAGGAAACAGAUGAAUCUUGCACUUCCAUGAGGCUGGGUCUCCCAGUGUCCACACAGGCCUCUGCCCCUGCAGGUGAGGAUAAA